AGGGCACCACCAGGAGUGGAGCCUGCGGCUUAAUUUGACUCAACACGGGAAAACUCACCCGGCCCGGACACCGUAAGGAUUGACAGACUGAGAGCUCUUUCUUAAUUCGGUGGGUGGUGGUGCAUGGCCGUUCUUAGUUGGUGGAGCGAUUUGUCUGGUUAAUUCCGAUAACGAACGAGACUCUGGCCUAUUAAAUAGUCGGUAUAUCCAGAAAAGUUUACCGUACUUCUUAGAGGGACAAACGGCGUCUAGCCGCGUGAAAUAGAGCAAUAACAGGUCUGUGAUGCCCUUAGAUGUCCGGGGCUGCACGCGCGCUACACUGAAGGAAUCAGUAUGCGCUUUAACCUAGUCCGGAAGGAUUGGGUAACCCGAGCAAAUUCUUUCGUGCUUGGGAUAGGGAAUUGCAAUUAUUUCCCUUAAACGAGGAAUUCCCAGUAAAUGCGGGUCAUAAGCUCGCGUUGAUUACGUCCCUGCCCUUUGUACACACCGCCCGUCGCUACUACCGAUUGGAUGACUUAG
Molecule: ribosomal RNA, 519 nt
Filed under: uncultured eukaryote
Lineage: Eukaryota
Description: SSU rRNA
Rfam family: Eukaryotic small subunit ribosomal RNA
Source: RNAcentral